UGGUACGCUGUUCCAUCUGGAUGAGUGGGC
Molecule: non-coding RNA, 30 nt
Filed under: Mus musculus (house mouse)
Lineage: Eukaryota; Metazoa; Chordata; Mammalia; Rodentia; Muridae
Source: RNAcentral